Molecule: ribosomal RNA, 600 nt
Filed under: Triticum aestivum (bread wheat)
Lineage: Eukaryota; Viridiplantae; Streptophyta; Magnoliopsida; Poales; Poaceae
Description: partial small subunit ribosomal RNA
Source: RNAcentral
GCUCACUCCGCCGCCUCCUCUCCUCUCGCGAGCCCCUCCAAAGCCCUAGCAGCACCGCCAUGGACGUCGCCGGCGCCGGCUCCGGCCACCGCAGCCGCGGACGGUCAGAGGCCUCGUGAAGGAGCACAUCGAGUCCUUCAACUACUUCAUCACCAAAGGAAUGGAGAACAUUGUGAAGGCAAAUGACCGUAUUGAGGCGCUCGAAGACCCAUCCAUUUGGCUUAGGUACACUGGAAUACGUGUCGGCGUGCCCUCGAUACGCUCAGACUUUAGCACUGAGGCGCUCACACCGCAAGUUUGCCGCCUUAUUGAUCGCACUUACUCUGCUCCUGUAACCGUUGGUAUUGAAUACACCACAAAAGUUCGAGGGACAACAUCAUAUCCACAGCAGGGAAGUGCCAUCAUUGGGUACAUGCCUAUUAUGCUUAGAAGUCGUGCCUGUGUUUUGAAUGGAAAGGAUGAAGAUGAACUAGCAAGAUAUGGUGAGUGCCCUCUUGAUCCUGGUGGUUACUUCAUUGUGAAAGGAAAUGAGAAGGUCCUUCUUAUACAAGAACAACUAUCAAAGAAUCGUAUCAUUAUUGAGACCGACAGUAAAGGAAG